CCUACGGGUGGCAGCAGUGAGGAAUAUUGGUCAAUGGGCGCGAGCCUGAACCAGCCAAGUCGCGUGAGGGAAGACGGUCCUAUGGAUUGUAAACCUCUUUUGUCGGGGAGCAAAAGACGCCACGCGUGGCGUUCCGAGAGUACCCGACGAAAAAGCAUCGGCUAACUCCGUGCCAGCAGCCGCGGUAAUACGGGGGAUGCGAGCGUUAUCCGGAUUUAUUGGGUUUAAAGGGUGCGCAGGCGGAAGAUCAGGUCAGCGGUAAAAUUGAGAGGCUCAACCUCUUCGAGCCGUUGAAACUGGUUGUCUUGAGUGAGCGAGAAGUAUGCGGAAUGCGUGGUGUAGCGGUGAAAUGCAUAGAUAUCACGCAGAACUCCGAUGGCGAAGGCAGCAUACCGGCGCUCAACUGACGCUCAUGCACGAAAGUGUGGGUAUCGAACAGGAUUAGAUACCCGAGUAGUC
This 459-nucleotide ribosomal RNA is filed under the name uncultured bacterium. Its description in RNAcentral is "partial 16S ribosomal RNA". It matches the Rfam family "Bacterial small subunit ribosomal RNA", at positions 338 to 795 of the family's 1533-position model. The record is from RNAcentral.